This 254-nucleotide ribosomal RNA is filed under the name uncultured bacterium. RNAcentral describes it as "partial 16S ribosomal RNA". It matches the Rfam family "Bacterial small subunit ribosomal RNA", at positions 524 to 776 of the family's 1533-position model. The record is from RNAcentral.
UACGUAGGGACCAAGCGUUGUUCGGAUUUACUGGGCGUAAAGGGCGCGUAGGCGGCAAUUCAAGUCAUCUGUGAAAUCUCCGGGCUUAACCCGGAACGGUCAGAUGAUACUGCUUUGCUAGAGUGCGGAAGGGGCAAUCGGAAUUCUUGGUGUAGCGGUGAAAUGCGUAGAUAUCAAGAGGAACACCUGAGGUGAAGACGGGUUGCUGGGCCGACACUGACGCUGAGGUGCGAAAGCGUGGGGGAGCAAACAGG